CCACAAAUCCGUGGCCACAGAACAGCAGAAUAUGAACGAAUAUGAAUAUGAAGACAAUAUGACCGAGAGAAUAUGAAGUCUCUCGUUAAGCAUUUUCCUCCCGUAGACAACCAUUGACACUUAAUAUGGCUCAAUGUAUUAAGAUGCAAUUAUAAGAUCAAAUUCAAUAUACAGAUUAUUAAUAUAAUGUAUAUGUAGGCUACCUAGUGUUUUCCUUCGCAAAACGUGGCAUAAUGUGGCAUAAUGGAUUAAGAUGAUAAAGACUAAACUCAAUAUGCUUCUAUUUAUUAUUAAAACAACUACACACAAGCAGGUGAGCCCAGAAUAAACGCAACGCCGCGUACAUUCGCGUUUUCCCAUAAAGAACAAUCUCUACAGCUCUUUUAUAUCAUUGUCUUUUGUUUAUAUUGGUUUUCUACGGGAGGAAAAUGUCUAUUUAACGCACUGCGUUCUGGGCACGUCUGCUUGCCUAAACAGAGUUGGUCUUUUUAAUAUCACCUAAUGCCUUUCUUAUGGCGCGUUCAUAUCUGCUGGUAUAUCGUUUGACAACAGUAAGGUUUAUAUUGAAUUUUGUCUGUAUCAUCUUAGUCCAUUUUGCCACACGGAUUUGUGGGUCUUGUUUUUAUCUCCUACAGAUGACUUGCAGGACCCUGUACGUUAAGCUAUUGAAUUAGUUUUAAUCGUUUAACGACCACAGCGUCUUGUCUCUAUUGGCAGUACGCACCAUUUGUGUGGAUUGCAAGUAGCAGAGAGUGCAGGUGGCGAUUGCAAGUGGCAUUGUAAUUUAGUUUAUUUUUUCUGUUGUUGUAAAAUGUUGAGAGAUUCAAUUAAAAAGUAAAAAUAAAAUAGACUGCAAGUGACGUUACUUCCGGAUGUGCAGGUGCAUGUCUGCAGCCAGACCCUUCUUGAAAGGAGGGGUUUAGAGAGACUGAUUCUUCAAACUGCUUUGCAUGAGUUGUUUAUGAAUCAUUUAGAAAUUAGGUUAAAUUAAAUCUAUUUUUGGAGAUAACUAAGGUUAUUUAGCAACUUUUAAAGUGGCUUAAUAGGAGCACUUUAAAGAUAAAAAUCUUCUUGUAGCAAGAUAAGUAGCCUUAACAGUGUUCUUGCACCAUUAGUUGGGAAUAGGAGUUUUAAUUAGGGUUGUGCGGAUGUGGAGUGGAGGGCCAGGAAGGAAAUGGCAGUAAGAUGGCACAGUUGUUGUCUUGGUGUACGGGGGUGAUACACAUCACGCCACUGGGGUACACUCUUAACCCGGAUUUUGUCUAAACCAAAAAAUGUAAGCAGUCAUUACGUAUUCUUUAUUGUUUUUUUAAAAAAAGUUGUCACUGCUAAAAAAUAGUAGUUGUUUGCACUAUUUAGACAAAUAAUUGACUACACUGAUCAAGUUAAGAAGACAUCACUCAGUAUGUUACGUUUUUGAAAAGGGGGAGGGGCUUUUUGAAGCAGGUCGCGUGAACAGAGCUGCUUCACUGAAGAGACGCGCCAACGGUUAAUCUUUGAAAACAACGUGAAUCGGACUCUGCUGAUGAUCAUGUGUUCCAAGACCUUGACCUUGGAAUCCUCCUUGUUGAGCGUGAAGGUGCUGUGUCUCCGUCCUCUCUGCAUCUCAAUCCAGCCUCAUUUAAGAUUGUCAUCGAGGGAGAAGUUGUGAUGAAAAGCAUUAAAGACUUGCCAAAGGCUAUGUGCCUUCUCUUUGGACUUACAUAUGCACUUCAUCUAAGCUACCCCAAACCAAUGAAGAACACAUUUCAGUUCAUCCAGCAGGUACUUCUAAUGUUGGGCCACACUGACUUGAAGCCCAGGUUACAUUAAAGAACCAGCUUGCAAUUUAAUUUUGACAGGAGUGGCUGUUUACUGUUCUUGAUGUGCACAAUUAAUCUCUGAGGUGAUUCUCUUGUUCCAAAUAUCCUGUCAUUGCUGUAAGUUAAAUUAAACCAGUUAAAUUGAAAGAGGUUAAAAGAGAAAGAGGUUAAAAGAGAAAAUAAAGAGUUAAAUUGUACCAGUUUUCUGUGGUAAAAAUGUUUAAAAUUCACAGGAGUCAUCUUUGUUUCAAAGAGUUGACUCAAGUUUUAAUGCUUAUCUAGUUUCAAUGCAUGUUUAGUCAUUCAGAGGGAUAUGGCAUAUUGUUGAAUACUAUGUGUUCAUGUUACUGUAAGCAAUCUGUACAGUUGUUGACUAGCAAAUAAGAAUUGUAUGUCAAAAAAAUGUUACUUGUCUUUUGUAUGACAAGUUCAUACAUGGAGGAAUACACUGUACUGCUUGUUUUUAUGAGCAAUAAAAACAUUGGAAUGCG
Long non-coding RNA from Labeo rohita (rohu), 2293 nucleotides. RefSeq lists it as uncharacterized. The transcript has 2 exons. NCBI's taxonomy places the organism in Eukaryota, Metazoa, Chordata, Actinopteri, Cypriniformes, Cyprinidae. The record is from RefSeq and is a predicted model, not a curated record.